CCUACGGGAGGCAGCAGUAAGGAAUAUUGGUCAAUGGACGCAAGUCUGAACCAGCCAUGCCGCGUGAAGGGAUUAAGGUCCUCUGGAUUGUAAACUUCUUUUAUCUGGGAACGAAAAAAGGCGAUUCUUCGUCACUUGACGGUACCAGAUGAAUAAGCACCGGCUAACUCCGUGCCAGCAGCCGCGGUAAUACGGAGGGUGCAAGCGUUAUCCGGAUUCACUGGGUUUAAAGGGUGCGCAGGCGGGCAGGUAAGUCAGUGGUAGAAACUCCUAGAGCUUAACUCUAGAACUGCCAUUGAUACUAUCUGUCUUGAAUAUUGUGGAGGUAAGCGGAAUAUGUCAUGUAGCGGUGAAAUGCUUAGAUAUGACAUAGAACACCUAUUGCGAAGGCAGCUUACUACGCAUAUAUUGACGCUGAGGCACGAAAGCGUGGGGAUCAAACAGGAUUAGACUACCCUGGUAGUCCACGCCCUAAACGAUGAUUACUCGACAUUUGUGAUACACUAUAAGUGUUNUGAGAGAAGANAUAAGUAAUACACGAGGAGUACGACGACGAGUAGAACGAGAAGAGUAGAGAGNGAGAGAGCGACGGACGACGACGAGGAGGAGG
Molecule: ribosomal RNA, 610 nt
Filed under: uncultured bacterium
Lineage: Bacteria
Description: bacterial SSU rRNA
Rfam family: Bacterial small subunit ribosomal RNA (bases 1-540)
Source: RNAcentral